UAACGACUCUCGGCAACGGAUAUCUCGGCUCUCGCAUCGAUGAAGAACGUAGCGAACUGCGAUACUUGGUGUGAAUUGCAGAAUCCCGUGAACCAUCGAGUCUUUGAACGCAAGUUGCGCCCGAAGCUUUUGGUCGAGGGCACGUUUGCCUGGGUGUCA
Molecule: ribosomal RNA, 159 nt
Filed under: Gossia pancheri
Lineage: Eukaryota; Viridiplantae; Streptophyta; Magnoliopsida; Myrtales; Myrtaceae
Also listed under: 4 other names
Description: 5.8S ribosomal RNA
Rfam family: 5.8S ribosomal RNA
About the family: 5.8S ribosomal RNA (5.8S rRNA) is a component of the large subunit of the eukaryotic ribosome.
Source: RNAcentral